RNAcentral lists this ribosomal RNA (288 nucleotides) under Escherichia coli. RNAcentral describes it as "partial 23S ribosomal RNA". It matches the Rfam family "Bacterial large subunit ribosomal RNA", at positions 2661 to 2925 of the family's 2925-position model. The record is from RNAcentral. Lineage: Bacteria; Pseudomonadati; Pseudomonadota; Gammaproteobacteria; Enterobacterales; Enterobacteriaceae.
ACUGAGGGGGGCUGCUCCUAGUACGAGAGGACCGGAGUGGACGCAUCACUGGUGUUCGGGUUGUCAUGCCAAUGGCACUGCCCGGUAGCUAAAUGCGGAAGAGAUAAGUGCUGAAAGCAUCUAAGCACGAAACUUGCCCCGAGAUGAGUUCUCCCUGACCCUUUAAGGGUCCUGAAGGAACGUUGAAGACGACGACGUUGAUAGGCCGGGUGUGUAAGCGCAGCGAUGCGUUGAGCUAACCGGUACUAAUGAACCGUGAGGCUUAACCUUACAACGCCGAAGGUGUUU